CGCGAAUGGCUCAUUACAACAGCCUUGGUUUAUUGGAUCUGACUAUCCACUUGGAUAACUGUGGUAAUUCUAGAGCUAAUACACGCUUUCAAGCUCCAACCUAUCAGAAGGAGUGCAUUUAUUAGAACAAAACCAAUCGGCUUCGGCCGUUACUUGGUGAAUCUGAAUAACUCUGCUGAUCGCACAGUCUUUGUACUGGCGACAAAUCUUUCAAGUGUCUGCCUUAUCAACUUUCGAUGGUAGUUUAUACGACUACCAUGGUUCUCACGGGUAACGGAGAAUUAGGGUUCGACUCCGGAGAGGGAGCCUGAGAAAUGGCUACCACAUCCAAGGAAGGCAGCAGGC
RNAcentral lists this ribosomal RNA (345 nucleotides) under Halichoanolaimus dolichurus. RNAcentral's name for it is "SSU rRNA". It matches the Rfam family "Eukaryotic small subunit ribosomal RNA", at positions 88 to 433 of the family's 1831-position model. Lineage: Eukaryota; Metazoa; Nematoda; Chromadorea; Chromadorida; Selachinematidae. The record is from RNAcentral.